Molecule: non-coding RNA, 46 nt
Filed under: Schistosoma mansoni
Lineage: Eukaryota; Metazoa; Platyhelminthes; Trematoda; Strigeidida; Schistosomatidae
Source: RNAcentral
GAACUGCUGAGGAGUUCCAUAAUAGGACGAAACAGCUGUCCAGUGC